This 253-nucleotide ribosomal RNA is filed under the name uncultured prokaryote. RNAcentral's name for it is "partial 16S ribosomal RNA". It matches the Rfam family "Bacterial small subunit ribosomal RNA", at positions 524 to 776 of the family's 1533-position model. The record is from RNAcentral.
UACGGAGGGUGCAAGCGUUAUCCGGAUUCACUGGGUUUAAAGGGUGCGUAGGUGGAUAGGUAAGUCCGUGGUGAAAUCCUGCAGCUUAACUGCAGAACUGCCAUGGAUACUAUUUAUCUUGAAUACUGUGGAGGUCAGCGGAAUAUGUCAUGUAGCGGUGAAAUGCUUAGAUAUGACAUAGAACACCAAUUGCGAAGGCAGCUGGCUACACAAAUAUUGACACUGAUGCACGAAAGCGUGGGGAUCAAACAGG